GUGCUCGCUUCGGCAGCACAUACACUAAAAUUGGAACAACACAGAAGAUUAGCACUGCCCUUGCACAAAGAUGACACACAAAUUUGUGAAGCGUUCCAUAUUUUU
Molecule: small nuclear RNA, 105 nt
Organism: Camelus ferus (Wild Bactrian camel)
Lineage: Eukaryota; Metazoa; Chordata; Mammalia; Artiodactyla; Camelidae
Source: Rfam